RNAcentral lists this ribosomal RNA (486 nucleotides) under Streptococcus vestibularis. RNAcentral describes it as "bacterial SSU rRNA". It matches the Rfam family "Bacterial small subunit ribosomal RNA", at positions 28 to 496 of the family's 1533-position model. Lineage: Bacteria; Bacillati; Bacillota; Bacilli; Lactobacillales; Streptococcaceae. The record is from RNAcentral.
GACGAACCCUGGCGGCGUGCCUAAUACAUGCAAGUAGAACGCUGAAGAGAGGAGCUUGCUCUUCUUGGAAGAGUUGCGAACGGGUGAGUAACGCGUAGGUAACCUGCCUUGUAGCGGGGGAUAACUAUUGGAAACGAUAGCUAAUACCGCAUAACAAUGGGUGACCCAUGUCAUUCAUUUGAAAGGGGCAACUGCUCCACUGCAAGAUGGGCCUGCGUUGUAUUAGCUAGUAGGUGAGGUAACGGCUCACCUAGGCGACGAUACAUAGCCGACCUGAGAGGGUGAUCGGCCACACUGGGACUGAGACACGGCCCAGACUCCUACGGGAGGCAGCAGUAGGGAAUCUUCGGCAAUGGGGGCAACCCUGACCGAGCAACGCCGCGUGAGUGAAGAAGGUUUUCGGAUCGUAAAGCUCUGUUGUAAGUCAAGAACGAGUGUGAGAGUGGAAAGUUCACACUGUGACGGUAGCUUACCAGAAAGGGACGG